GUGUAUUACGUUUGGAACUUCGAUCUUUUAAGCCGUAGGUCAUAGGUUCGAAUCCUAUAGUGCGUA
This 66-nucleotide transfer RNA is filed under the name Rhodnius prolixus. It matches the Rfam family "tRNA". Rfam says of the family: Transfer RNA (tRNA) molecules are approximately 80 nucleotides in length. Their secondary structure includes four short double-helical elements and three loops (D, anti-codon, and T loops). Further hydrogen bonds mediate the characteristic L-shaped molecular structure. tRNAs have two regions of fundamental functional importance: the anti-codon, which is responsible for specific mRNA codon recognition, and the 3' end, to which the tRNAs corresponding amino acid is attached (by aminoacyl-tRNA synthetases). tRNAs cope with the degeneracy of the genetic code in two manners: having more than one tRNA (with a specific anti-codon) for a particular amino acid; and 'wobble' base-pairing, i.e. permitting non-standard base-pairing at the 3rd anti-codon position. The record is from Rfam by way of RNAcentral. Lineage: Eukaryota; Metazoa; Arthropoda; Insecta; Hemiptera; Reduviidae.